Jaminaea rosea is the source of this 83-nucleotide non-coding RNA. The record is from the annotation of a RefSeq genome assembly. NCBI's taxonomy places the organism in Eukaryota, Fungi, Basidiomycota, Exobasidiomycetes, Microstromatales.
UUCUUGGUGGUUUAAUGGUCAGGACGUCCGCUUGUCAUUACAGCAGACUGCGGGAGCCCCGGGUUCAAUUCCCGGCCAGGAAG